CAAGAAAUAGCAUAAGAAGUGUGUUUUGUUUACACCAAAAAGGUGGGUUGAUCCUUUCUUGU
Molecule: transfer RNA, 62 nt
Filed under: Macridiscus semicancellata
Lineage: Eukaryota; Metazoa; Mollusca; Bivalvia; Venerida; Veneridae
Also listed under: 1 other name
Description: tRNA-Val
Source: RNAcentral